CCUACGGGAGGCAGCAGUGAGGAAUAUUGGUCAAUGGGCGCGAGCCUGAACCAGCCAAGUCGCGUGAGGGAGGACGGCCCUACGGGUUGUAAACCUCUUUUGCCGGGGAGCAACGGGCAUCACGUGUGGCGCCACUGAGAGUACCCGGAGAAAAAGCAUCGGCUAACUCCGUGCCAGCAGCCGCGGUAAUACGGAGGAUGCGAGCGUUAUCCGGAUUUAUUGGGUUUAAAGGGUGCGUGGGCGGAUAGUUAAGUCAGUGGUAAAAUUGAGGGGCUCAACCCCUUCCCGCCAUUGAAACUGGCGCUCUUGAGUGGAAGAGAAGUAUGCGGAAUGCGUGGUGUAGCGGUGAAAUGCAUAGAUAUCACGCAGAACCCCGAUUGCGAAGGCAGCAUGCCGGCUUCCGACUGACGCUGAAGCACGAAAGCGUGGGGAUCGAACAGGAUUAGAUACCCCAGUAGUC
RNAcentral lists this ribosomal RNA (460 nucleotides) under uncultured bacterium. RNAcentral's name for it is "partial 16S ribosomal RNA". It matches the Rfam family "Bacterial small subunit ribosomal RNA", at positions 338 to 795 of the family's 1533-position model. The record is from RNAcentral.